CCUACGGGAGGCUGCAGUGAGGACUAUUUGUCAAUGGCCGGAAGGCUGAACCAGCCAAGCCGCGUGAAGGACGCAGGUGCCAAGCAUUGUAAACUUCUUUUGUCAAGGGACAAAAUCAGGCUCGAGAGCCUGACCGAGGGUACUUGAAGAAAAAGCAUCGGCUAACUCCGUGCCAGCCGCCGCGGUAAUACGGAGGAUGCGAGCGUUAUCCGGAUUUAUUGGGUUUAAAGGGUGCUUAGGCGGGCUGUUGAGUCCGCGGUAAAAGCCCGGGGGUCAACCCCGGCGAGCCGUUGAAACUGGCUGGCUUGAGAUGUCGAGAGGUAUGCGGAAUGCGCAGUGUAGCGGUGAAAUGCUUAGAUAUUGCGCAGAACUCCGAUUGCGAAGGCAGCAUACCGGCGGCGAUCUGACGCUGAGGCACGAAAGCGUGGGUAUCGAACAGGAUUAGAUACCCUGGUAGUC
Molecule: ribosomal RNA, 459 nt
Filed under: uncultured bacterium
Lineage: Bacteria
Description: partial 16S ribosomal RNA
Rfam family: Bacterial small subunit ribosomal RNA
Source: RNAcentral